Molecule: long non-coding RNA, 1080 nt
Organism: Sphaeramia orbicularis (orbiculate cardinalfish)
Lineage: Eukaryota; Metazoa; Chordata; Actinopteri; Kurtiformes; Apogonidae
Exons: 3
Source: RefSeq, a predicted model, not a curated record
ACAGUGCUCCACUGAGAUUAUGUCAGAUACCUGCCCUGCGGGAUCCUCAGCACUCAGCACUGGAGAGCGUGGCAGAUGGUGUGAGCUUGGGAGUCAUGCCAGGCUUCACCUCUGAGCUCCGUCCAACCUGUGGCAAAAUCCGGAGUGCUAAAGGUUUGGGGCUGCCCACGUCAGACCGCCUUUUCCGAGGUUUGGCUUGAGAGAAAAAGGAGUGUGAGGGGAAGAGCAGAGGGCUUUAAAAGUAUCCUGACCCUUUCACAGAUGAGAAAAAGAGGACAAGUCGAACCCACUUCUGGGCUGCAGACUGACGUAGACUAUGAGGCUCCAUGUCUCACCACAGCUGAUCUGAUACAGCAGCGGAAAAGGCUCCGCUCAUGCCAACCAGACACUGGAGUCAGGGGAAAGUAUAGAUCUAAGAGUACAUUUAUACGCUAUGUAAUGAGCCAUGCCUCGGUAAUUAAAGUGUAAUACGGUAACAUUUUCCAGCGAUGGUGUGGAGGGUAAACCCGCCUUUUUUUUAAUUGAGAAGCAGAGUUUACCCACUUGACAUAAACCUUAAUGAUGUUAAUUCUUGGUAUAUCAAUUAGCACCAGAAGAUGUAAAGUAUAGAAAGUGGAAAAAGGGUGUGAAGGAAUGAGAUUAAAGUGACUUUUUGUGCAUAAUGGUGGCUGCUUGGUUUGUAAUGAUCACUUUAAGUAGGUAUGGCUCACCUUUUCCUAAUUUCACUAAAAUAACAGAGGUCGUACUCAUACAUUUUAUGCACUGUGGUACAGGAGACUUUCCAUUUGUUAGUGUUCACUUUAUUCAACCGCACAUAAAGUCAUAGGAAAACUCUGGAAAACAUUUUCUGAUUGUAAUCUGUACUUAAUUUAUAUGAAUACCUGACAUGUGUUUCACUCUACUUCAUUAUAGGUCUAACAAUAGAAUCUACUUUUUUUUUUUCAUUUUUUGCUCAUUUUAAAGCAGCUUUUAGGGGAAAUAUGUUAUGAAUAAACCCUAUAAAAGAUACUUUUCGUGCAUAAAUGUGGUUGCUUGUCUUAUAAUGAUCACCUAAAGGACAUCUGGUACACUUUAUUGUGU